UAUUGGACAAUGGAGGCAACUCUGAUCCAGCCAUGCCGCGUGAAGGAAUAAGGCCCUAUGGGUUGUAAACUUCUUUUAGACGGGACAGAACCCCUUUACGUGUAAAGGGUUGAUGGUACUGUCAGAAUAAGCAUCGGCUAACUUCGUGCCAGCAGCCGCGGUAAUACGAAGGAUGCAAGCGUUAUCCGGAAUUAUUGGGUUUAAAGGGUGCGUAGGCGGACUAAUAAGUCAGUGGUGAAAGCCUGCAGCUUAACUGCAGAAUUGCCAUUGAUACUGUUAGUCUUGAGUACAGUUGAGGUAGGCGGAAUGUGUCAUGUAGCGGUGAAAUGCUUAGAGAUGACACAGAACACCGAUUGCGAAGGCAGCUUGCUAAGCUGUAACUGACGCUGAGGCACGAAAGCGUGGGGAG
RNAcentral lists this ribosomal RNA (409 nucleotides) under uncultured bacterium. RNAcentral describes it as "bacterial SSU rRNA". It matches the Rfam family "Bacterial small subunit ribosomal RNA", at positions 362 to 768 of the family's 1533-position model. The record is from RNAcentral.